UAAUUUCAACGCCGGUGGCGGACUAAAAGCGUACCCAUUUACAUAUUCAGAGAGAGCUAAAAUUACCUGGUGGCAACUUGAAAGACGAUAAGAAAAUGAAAGAAAUUUAUCAAGAAAAGCAUUCUGGGAUGCGAAAGCAUGUAGCAUUUAAAAAAAUUAUCAAUGGAGUUAUGAACUUCACGAAUAAUAUUUGAAGUUGCUGUUGUGAGUAACAUGAAGUUGGGUUUUGAAAUUGACUGGUUUCUGAGAAAUGGGGCGCUGUGGAUGAAACUGAAAGGGGAAGAAAGAGGCAGUAUCAGAAAAUGUGAAGGUGAAUUUUUGGCAGUGCAUUUUAGGUCCUCGUCUGAUGGGUGCUUGAAAGAAGAAGGGGAAGAAGAUUUCAUUCAAUGGUUUUUGGGCUUGGGUAUGUGUGGGGCGUCGGGGUC
Molecule: long non-coding RNA, 425 nt
Filed under: Olea europaea (common olive)
Lineage: Eukaryota; Viridiplantae; Streptophyta; Magnoliopsida; Lamiales; Oleaceae
Description: long non-coding RNA (OEUR_LNC004193)
Source: RNAcentral